UCCGGCGGAGACGCAGCACAAAAAUGGUUUUACUUGCGAUACCCUUCGUCUCCCUCACGUCCCAUCCAUCCCUCCCCCCCCUUUUCCCUCCUCCUCCACCUCCACUGCCAUGGCCGCCUCCGCCGCUCCUCUCUCCCGCGUGGUAGCCGCCGCCGGUUGCCGCCGCUAGGGGAGCGCGACGGGGGAACGGUAGGGGCGACCCAGCUCGCUCUGUCGCCCCGCGGCUGGUGGGGGUGCGCGCGGGGGAGAGCGGUUGGUUAGUAUGGUGCUGGAUCUCAAUGUGGAGUCGCCGGGUGGGUCGGCGGCGACGUCGAGCUCGUCCACGCCGCCGCCGCCGCCCGACGGUGGCGGCGGGGGGUACUUCCGGUUCGACCUGCUCGGCGGGAGCCCCGACGAGGACGGGUGCUCCUCGCCUGUCAUGACGCGCCAGCUCUUCCCUUCGCCGUCUGCGGUGGUGGCGCUGGCGGGGGACGGGUCGUCGACGCCACCGCUGACGAUGCCGAUGCCGGCGGCGGCUGGGGAGGGGCCGUGGCCGCGCCGCGCGGCGGAUCUCGGGGUGGCGCAGAGCCAGAGGUCCCCCGCCGGCGGGAAGAAGAGCCGCCGCGGCCCGAGGUCUCGGAGCUCCCAGUACAGGGGCGUCACCUUCUACAGGAGGACCGGGCGAUGGGAGUCGCACAUCUGGGACUGCGGGAAGCAGGUGUACCUGGGUGGUUUCGAUACAGCUCAUGCCGCAGCGAGGGCCUAUGAUCGCGCGGCGAUCAAGUUCAGAGGCCUCGACGCGGAUAUCAACUUUAAUCUGAAUGACUAUGAGGACGACUUGAAGCAGAUGCGCAAUUGGACCAAGGAGGAGUUUGUGCACAUACUUCGGCGCCAAAGCACAGGAUUUGCAAGGGGGAGCUCAAAGUACCGGGGUGUGACACUGCACAAGUGUGGCCGGUGGGAAGCUCGGAUGGGCCAGCUGCUCGGCAAGAAGUACAUCUAUCUAGGAUUGUUUGACAGUGAAAUUGAGGCUGCAAGAGCAUAUGACCGGGCAGCUAUCCGCUUCAAUGGAAGGGAAGCUGUUACUAAUUUUGAUCCUAGUUCUUAUGAUGGAGAUGUUCUACCUGAAACCGACAAUGAAGUGGUUGAUGGAGACAUCAUUGACUUAAAUCUGAGAAUUUCACAGCCUAACGUUCAUGAGCUGAAAAGUGAUGGUACCCUAACUGGGUUCCAGUUGAAUUGUGAUUCUCCUGAAGCUUCAAGUUCUGUUGUUACUCAGCCAAUAAGUCCUCAGUGGCCUGUGCUUCCUCAGGGCACAUCGAUGUCCCAGCAUCCACAUUUAUAUGCAUCUCCUUGUCCGGGCUUCUUUGUGAACCUCAGGGAAGUACCUAUGGAGAAAAGACCUGAGUUGGGUCCCCAGUCGUUCCCUACUUCGUGGUCAUGGCAAAUGCAGGGCUCCCCUUUGCCAUUACUCCCUACUGCAGCAUCAUCAGGAUUCUCUACGGGCACCGUCGCCGACGCCGCCCGCUCGCCUUCCUCCCGCCCCCAUCCAUUUCCCGGCCACCACCAGUUCUACUUCCCCCCGACCGCCUGACUGCCACCUAUUCUGGUGGAGGCGACACCUCACCGUGCAUCCACCGCCGCUUGCUGAUAACAUUCGUCGUUUGUCCAGAGAGGGACCUUCUCCAUAUGAUAUCCCUCUCUAUGUUCCACCUGGUUAUGAUCAGAAUUCUCACGCUCAUGAUUCUUUUAUCUUCAUUUUUGAGUGCGAAACCACGAAUCGUGACCGUGCUACCAGAGUUGUAAUUUGAACAGUGGGCACUAAAGCUGGGGCCCACUCGCACCAGUGUCUAGUGGAGCGAAGCUUUGCCCUUUUCUUGCUAUCCAGCAACUAUUCCUCCGCCUGCCUCCAUUGCUGACAGUGGAGAUAGCUUCCCAGUGGUCACUGUUCCACUGUACUCUGUCAUAGUUUCUGAUCACCCCUAUUGUGCCUUGUCUCUUUCACCUCCUCCCUCACUUGUGCUGCCUCUGGCCACUAGAGUGGCGCCCUGCACUGUUGCCAUGCAUGGCUGCCACUUCGAGAGUGGAGAUGGGGGUUGGCCUUUGGGUGAUUUCUGUGUGCCAUCUUUUGGCUCAAUGUCGUUUUGGGACUGGUGCAUGUACUGGCAAUAGGUGAGAUGAGAUAUGAAAUGUCCUCUGCUGCUUUUUCUAUCUAAGGAGUAGCUUAGCUAUCACCAGCUGCCUUUCUCUUCUCAAAUAAGGUUGUUAAAAGGGGGGGUCUUAAAGCUACCCCAACUGCUGCCAGGGGCCCUCUUCAAUGCCCUCCCAGCUGCCGUUUCUUUCUUUAUUGGUUUGCUUCUCUGCUGCUUCUUUUGCCUGGUUGGAUGGAUGUUUGUUUGUUCGUAUGAAUUGGGGGAGCUACUAGUAUCAUUCAUGAGUAGAGGCAGGCAGGGCAGAGCAGGCUGCUGGCUGGCCAGGCACUGAUGUGCCAACAGCUAUUUCCAGUGAAACGGCUGCCAUUUUUCUUUGCUGGGAUUGUGAUAGUGGUAGGCUGGUAGUACUAGCUAGCAGUGUAUUGGGGGAAAUACUGGUGGUCCAUUUGCCUGUUAGCCAAUCUGAUGCUUGCCUUUCCAUCCGCUGGUGAUGGUCCAUUUGCUUUGGCAUCUUGCUUGCCUGUUAGUACUACAAAAGUUGCAUACAUAUGCUAUUGAGGUUAGGGUGUGUUUAGUUCACGCAAAAAUUGGAAGUUUGGUUGAAAUUGGCGAUGUGAUGGAAAAGUUUGAAGUUUAUAUGUGUAGGAAAGGUUUGAUGUGAUGGAAAAGUUGGAAGUUUGAAAAAAAAUGUUUGGAACUAAACACGGUGUUAGAGUUGAUCUGAGUACCUGACAACUUCAUGGCAAAUGCUCUUUACAAUGACAUCAACAGACUUUAGUUUUGCAGCAGUUCUUCUCUGUAUCUGUGUUUCAAUGCAUGGGUUUGGAUUGUGAAUAACAGUAUUAUAUUUGCCUGCCCUUCCUUUUUUGGUUUAAAAAGAAAGGCAUUGUCUAUGGUGGCAAGGCUUUUGAUGAAUAGACUAUGCAUCCUUUCUUUGGUACACUUUGUUAGAAUAGUAUGUGGAAUAUUAGAUGGACCAAAUCUAUCAAACAUAAUAAUAGUACAAUUAGGAUGUUUGGUAGAGAUUUGAGAUAUCCUUUUUUUUGGGAGAGUUUGGGUGUGGUUGAUUUAACUCCCAUAGUUAAAUUAAUUAACUAAUACAAAGAAAUAUACUGAAAGGAAAAUUUCCAAGGUAGGAGUUUUUGCUAAAUUUCCUUCAAAUUCUCUACAGGAUUGUUCAUUUCAUAUGAAUUCCAAGAGAUAGGAUAGGAUUCAAUCCUUUGUUUUAAAGAUCUUCAUAGGUAAUUUUCAUAUAGGAUUAAAACCCUCCAAAAUUCCUUUGUUUUUCCUCUAAAUCAAAGGAACCCUAAAACACAUGAAUAUGAGAUGUUUUGUUUGGAUGCUUCAAAUGAAAAAUACAUAGAAAAGACAUAUAGGAAUUUGGUAGAUUCAUUUGAGAGUAGAUAGAUGGAGAAGAGUUGCAUUGGACCUUUCAAAAAGUGAAAGAAUGAAGUUUGAGCAAUUGAGCUCAUCGUUUAAGUUUCCCAAGGAAGUGGGGCAUAGGAACUCAAUCCACAGGGGCAUAUGUAUAGGAAAUUUUCUUAGGGAUUGUAAUCCAUGCUUUCUAGGAAAAUCAUACUGUUCAAAGGAGCCAUUAAUUUAGUAUAAACAAAUGGAAACAAAGUCACUUGAGCUAUUUACUUGUGCAAAAAUUUAAAAUUGCAAAGAGUAUAUCUCUACUAUAUUAAAAGUAGGGUCAUCCUCUUUCCAUCCCCUUCUCCCACCGUGCGCAGCGCGCCCACGUGCAUCAUAUAAGUAAUGACCUGAUCUAAGUUUUACCCUACAAUCACACUUAUAGUUUAUCCUUCCUUAUACAUGUCUGAUUCGUUAUAACAUAGGGGUAUGUUACUAGUAUUCAAUAAAUUAGGGCUAUGUUUAGCUCCUAAAAUUGGGGAGAAGUUUGAGAAAAAUUGGUAGUUUGGAAAAAAAAGUUGGGAGUUUAUGUGAGUAGGAAAGUUUUGGAUGUGAUGUGAUAUGAUGGAAAUUUGAGAGUUUGGGGAAAGUUUAGUGUGAACUAAACAGGACUAGGAGUACAUAGUCGAUCAUCAUCCUCUCUCUUUCCCUUAAACCCCAAAGAACCCUAACGAUGGAUGUCCUCUCUCUUUCCCUUAAGGACAUAGGAACUGCUCAUCUUUAGGAGGAUGUUUUUGGAGUCAUUGCCUACUGCCAAGGACAGCAAGGCGCCAGCGCCACUUUUACUUCCCUCCCAGAUGACAGCUGAACCUCUCCUAUCAUCUUUAGUUGCUUAGAGCAUAAACAAUGCCACUUCUAGAGUGAUGGCCAGAUGGACUAAGGGCACACAUUUAGGAUGGGCCUUUCCUCACAAUGCAAAGUGACAGUAGGGGUGGCUUUAAAAUUUUCAAGACAACAUGUGACACUAUCUAUUUAAGCCCACAUAUUUUUUUUAAUUUACGUGGAAGUCUAAAAUUUUACACUACCAGCCAAAUACUCGUGUGUGCAACGGAUUAUCCAAAAUAGGA
This is an RNA transcript of Oryza sativa Japonica Group (Japanese rice), 4612 nucleotides long. It is a transcript of the gene named APETALA2-like protein 3, with no coding region annotated. The record is from RefSeq and is a predicted model, not a curated record. NCBI's taxonomy places the organism in Eukaryota, Viridiplantae, Streptophyta, Magnoliopsida, Poales, Poaceae.